Molecule: ribosomal RNA, 449 nt
Filed under: uncultured bacterium
Lineage: Bacteria
Description: partial 16S ribosomal RNA
Rfam family: Bacterial small subunit ribosomal RNA
Source: RNAcentral
AACGAACGCUGGCGGCAUGCCUAACACAUGCAAGUCGAACGAGAUCUUCGGGUCUAGUGGCGCAAGGGUGCGUAACGCGUGGGAAUCUGCCCUUUGGUUCGGAAUAACAGUUGGACACGACUGCUAAUACCGGAUGAUGACGAAAGUCCAAAGAUUUAUCGCCAGAGGAUGAGCCCGCGUAGGAUUAGCUAGUUGGUGUGGUAGAGGCGCACCAAGGCGACGAUCCUUAGCUGGUCUGAGAGGAGGAUCAGCCACACUGGGACUGAGACACGGCCCAGACUCCUACGGGAGGCAGCAGUGGGGAAUAUUGGACAAUGGGCGAAAGCCUGAUCCAGCAAUGCCGCGUGAGUGAUGAAGGCCUUAGGGCUGUAAAGCUCUUUUACCCGGGAUGAUAAUGACAGUACCGGGAGAAUAAGCUCCGGCUAACUCCGUGCCAGCCGCCGCGGUAA